ACCAGCAUGGUGUAGUGGUUUGCUUGUUGGACUAUGACUCUGGAGACCAGGGUUCAAAUCCCUGCUCAGCAA
Phrynosoma platyrhinos (Desert horned lizard) is the source of this 72-nucleotide non-coding RNA. Lineage: Eukaryota; Metazoa; Chordata; Lepidosauria; Squamata; Phrynosomatidae. The record is from the annotation of a GenBank genome assembly.